RNAcentral lists this unclassified non-coding RNA (400 nucleotides) under soil metagenome. Its description in RNAcentral is "partial contains 5.8S ribosomal RNA, internal transcribed spacer 2, and large subunit ribosomal RNA". The stretch from base 1 to 122 matches the Rfam family "5.8S ribosomal RNA", at positions 35 to 154 of the family's 154-position model. The record is from RNAcentral.
GAUGAAGAACGCAGCGAAAUGCGAUACUUGGUGUGAAUUGCAGAAUCCCGUGAACCAUCGAGUCUUUGAACGCAAGUUGCGCCUCAAGCCAUUAGGUUGAGGGCACGUCUGCCUGGGCGUCACAUAUCGUUGCCUGAUGCCAGUUUCCUCGUGAUGGGUGACUGUGCAGGGCGAAUGAUGGCUUCCCGUGAGCAUUGUUGCCUCAUGGGUGGUUGAAAAUUGAGUCCUUGGUAGGGAGCGCCGUGAUAGAUGGUGGUUGAGUGACGAACGAGACCCAAUCAUGUGAGACCCCUACCGAAUUUGGCCUUCAUGACCCACAUGCGUCUUUGGAACGCUCAUGACGAGACCUCAGGUCAGGCGGGGCUACCCGCUGAGUUUAAGCAUAUCAAUAAGCGGAGGA